Ruditapes philippinarum (Manila clam) is the source of this 5499-nucleotide long non-coding RNA. RefSeq lists it as uncharacterized. The record is from RefSeq and is a predicted model, not a curated record. Lineage: Eukaryota; Metazoa; Mollusca; Bivalvia; Venerida; Veneridae. The transcript has 2 exons.
UUACUCUCAUCAGUUUGGUGUAUGUUUACACCUGCAAGAUGUGCGAUUAUUUGUUAUUUUGAAUGUAGGUGUGACAUUUGACAUAAUCUGUUCGGAUCUGAGAGGUUAAUUUUAGAAUAAAAUAAAAACAAAAAAUGAAAAAAUUGUGCGGAGUUUGGAAUAGAAAGGUUCCGGAUCCGAAAGGUUUUUUAUUAUUGAAAAUAGAACGAAUAAAAUCGGGACCGAUCACUUCCUUUGGAUAAGAAAGGAUUCUGGAAUAGAAGGGUUCAGAUUAGCAAGGCUCCACUGUAAUUCAUUUGGUAUGGAAUUUUUUUUUAAAUAAUUAAUAGUGAAAUGCAAAAAGAAAUUGUGGUUGUUAUAUAUAAUGGUGUAAACAAUUUAGAUUUACUGGUAUGUCUUUUUGCACAAAAGUGUCCAUUAAAGACAUUUGUAGAUGUAUGACUCACAUUCAGUGAUAGUUCUAGUUUGAUUGAGGAUAUCAAUUUGUCUGUUUUUGUAAGAGAUUCAAUAUCAUAUCAUGUUGAACAAAUCAGUUAUCUUUUAUAUCUCAUUAAACCUCUUUGACCCAUGAGAAGUUAUCUUUAAGAGUAAUAUCUAUGCUUUUAUAUUUUAACAGUGACUGGCUUUUAAAAGACUAACAUAUACUCCUAAUACAACAGAAUAAAUGUGCUCAGAAAUUAGCAAGAUUUUGUGAUAAUUGUUAAAGGCAGCUGAUAUUGUGUGUUUUGUUUAAGAAGAAUGUGUUAAUUUGUUAUCAUUUUUCAUGUGCUCUAGAUUUUGUCAGUUUUGAAUAUCUUUUCAUAGUUUAUAUAACCAAAUCAUUUGUGAUGUGUAAUUGAUUUUUUUUCUCUUAAAAUUUUUAUCAUUUGUGUUUUUGUAUUUUUGAGUCACCUUGACCUUGAAAAGGAGACAUAUAGGGGUUACUUUUGUCAGCGGUGUCGGCGUCCCCUAAAGUUUGUCCGGAGCAUAACUCAGUCACUAUAAGUUGGAUUGACUUCAAACUUGGUAUGCAUGCUUCUUUCAAUAACCCGAAGUGCAGUGCACAAGGACCGGUACUCUGCACUUCUUAUGAGUUAUUGCCCUUUGUUAGUUUUCAUACUUUAAUUUUGUUCGGGCUAUUUCUCUUCAACUAUAAAAGCUAUGGACUUGAAACUUUAUAGGAUGAUAGAUCUCAUUAAGAAGAAGUGCAGUGCACAAGAACCGGUAAUCUGCACUUCCUUAUUUUUAUGCCCCCGCCAUGUAAUGGCCGGGGCAUAUAGUGUUACCCUGUUCCGUCCUUCCGUCAUUCCGUCCUUCCGUCAUUCUGUCAUUCCGUCAUCAUCAGUUUCCGUUCAUUAUCUCCCCAACGGUACAACACAUUCAACUUAAAUUUGACAUAUGGAUAUGUCAUGAGAAAAUACAGGUCAAGUUCGAAUUUGGUCAUGGUUCGAUGAUUUUUGGCAGAGUUGUGCCCCUUUUACUUUGAAAAUAAUAUGAAAUUUUCAGUUUCCGUUCAUUAUCUCCCAAACGGUAUAACACAUUCAACUCAAAUUUGACAUAUGGAUAUGUCAUGAGAAAAUACAGGUCAAGUUCGAAUUUGGUCAUGGUUCGAUGAUUUUUGGCAGAGUUAUGCCCCUUUUACUUUGAAAAUAAUAUGAAAUUUUCCGUUUCCGUUCAUUAUCUCCCCAACGGUACAACACAUUCAAACCAAAUUUGACAUAUGGAUAUGUCAUGAGAAAAUACAGGUCAAGUUCGAAUUUGGUCAUGGUUCGAUGAUUUUUGGCAGAGUUAUGCCCCUUUUACUUUGAAAAUAAUAUGAAAUUUUCAGUUUCCGUUCAUUAUCUCCCCAACGGUACAACACAUUCAACUCAAACUUGACAUAUGGAUAUGUCAUGAGAAAAUACAUGUCAAGUUCGAAUUUGGUCAUGGUUCGAUGAUUUUUGGCAAAGUUAUGCCCCUUUUACUUUAAAAUAAUAUGAAAUUUUCAGUUUCCGUUCAUUAUCUCCCCAACGGUACAACACAUUCAACUCAAAUUUGACAUAUGGAUAUGUCAUGAGAAAAUACAGGUAAAGUUCGAAUUUGGUCAUGGUUCGAUGAUUUUUGGCAGAGUUAUGCCCCUUUUACUUUGUAAAUAAUAUGAAAUUUUCAGUUUCCGUUCAUUAUCUCCCCAACAGUACAACACAUUCAACUCAAAUUUGACAUAUGGAUAUGUUUCUGGAAUGCCCAGGCCAAUUUCGAAUUUGGUCAUGGUUCAAUGAUUUUUGGCAGAGUAAUGCCCCUUUCACUUUGAAAAUAAUAUGAAAUUUACAGUUUCUGUUCAUUAUCUACCCAACAGUGUUACAUAUUCAACUCAAAUUUGACAUAUGGAUAUGUCAAAGGAAUGGGCAGGUCAAGUUGGAAUUUGGUCAUGGUUCGAUGAUUUUUUGGCAGAGUUAUGUCCCUUUCACUUUGAAAAUAAUAUAAAUACGUCUUAGGAAUAAGCAGUUUAAGUUUGAAUUUGGUCAUGGUUUAAUGAUUUUGGACAACCUUAUCUUUCUUGAAUAUUGGAAAAAUUUUGAACUUUUUGUUUCAGCACUCAUACUUUUGUGGAAAUGUAUGUAUAGCCAUUAUUUUGGCUACAAAUAUGAAAUAUGCUAUUUUCAAAAGGUUAAGACUGAAUAAUUUCAGUGCCUUGAAUAUUGUAUGAAAAUGGUUUGUGUUAACACUGAAAAGUUUAAAGGGCUUUGAACUUAAAAUGAAAACAAUAAUUUGUGCAAACAAAUUUGGAACUAAAUAUUAUAACAUCUGAAAUUUUGGCUGCAUGCGGGGGCAUCCGUGGCAUGAUGACACAUUUCUAGUUGAGUUUUUGCCCUUUGUUAAUUUUCAUACUUUAUUUUUGUCCAGGCCAUUUCUCCUAAUGUAUAAAAGCCAUGGACUUGAAACUUCAUAGGAUGACAGAUCUCAUUGAGAAGAAGUGCAGUGCACAAGAACCGAUAUUCUGCAUUUCUUAUUUUUUGAGUUUUGCCCUUUGUUAAUUUUCAUACUUUAUUUUUGUCCAGGCCAUUUCUCCUAAUGUAUAAAAGCUAUGGACUUGAAUUUUCACAGGAUAAUAGAUCUCAUUAAGAAGAAGUGCAGUGCACAAGAACUGGUACUCUGCAUUUCUUAUUUUUUUUUAGUUAUUGCCCUUUAUUAAUUUUCAUACUUUAUUUUUGUCCAGGUCAUUUCUCCUAAAGUAUAAAAGCUAUGGACAUGAAACUUCAUAGGAUGACAGAUCUCAUUGAGAAGAAGUGCAGUGCACAAGAACCGAUAUUCUGCAUUUCUUAUUUUUUGAGUUUUGCCCUUUGUUAAUUUUCAUACUUUAUUUUUGUCCAGGCCAUUUCUCCUAAUUUAUAAAAGCCAUGGACUUGAAACUUCAUAGGAUGACAGAUCUCAUUAAGAAAAAGUGAAGUGUACAAGAACCGGUACUCUACAUUUCUUUUUUUUUAGUAAUUACCCUUUAAUAAUUUUCAUACUUUAUUUUUGUCCAGGCCAUUUCUCAUAAAUUAUAAAAGCUAUGGACAUGAAACUUCAUAGGAUGAUAGGUCUUAUUGAUAAGAAGUGCAGUGCACAGAAACUGCUGAUCUGCAUUUCUUAUUUUUUGAGUUAUUGCCCUUUGUUAAUUUUCAUACUUUAUUUUUGUCCAGACCAUAUCUCAUAAAUUAUAAAAGCUUUAGACGAUGAUAGAUCUUAUUGAUAAGAAGUGCAGUGCACAGAAACUGCUGAUCUGCAUUUCUUAUUUUUUGAGUUAUUGCCCUUUGUGUUGAUUUUCAAAUUUCAUUUUUGUCCUGGCCAUUUCUCUUAAACUAUAUUGUUCACAAGGCGACACAUCCGACUUGCGGAGUUCUAGUUUUCUGUAAUUUGCUAAAAGUUUGUUAUUUAUGAAUGGAUGACACAACAUCUUUUAGGUCAGGACCUGAUGUAUAUCAAACUCAAAUUGCCCUUCAUUCAUGUAUGACUGAUGUUGAAGGUCAAAUCAUUGAUUUUUCACUGAUUAUAUCUAUAAUUGGCAGUAACUUGGUAAUUAAUCAGUGAAUUAUUUUCAUACUUGGACAAGACCUUCUAAAAUGUUGAUUCUUGGACAAGACCUUCUAAAAGGUUGAAAUGUUCUUGGCCUUGAGCUUUAAAUGACCUUGACCAUCAAGGUAAAAGUAUUGAAAUUUGGUUAAGUUUUGAAUUUUGAUACAGGUGGCAAAGGUGGCAAAACUGUAUGAAAAAGUCUUAUUUUUGUAAUUAACAUAACCAAAAUUAAAAAACAAUACAUUUUUAAAAUGAAAUUUAUUUAAUCCAAAAAGGAAAUUGUUUUAUAAGUCCAAUUUUUGGCAGGGUUGCACAGGUGCAAAUCCAAGUUAUAGUAUAGUGAAUGGCGGGUGACGGGCAAAUGGGGACAACAUUUUUGUAACAGUUUUCUCAGCAUCUACUUAACACAAACUCUCGAUAUUUGGUAUACAGCAUGAACACAUUGUCUCAUACUGUGGGUUUCGAUUUCAGGUCUGUGGCUCAUCCACUUCAUGUUUGCCAACUUAGUUAAAUUUUUUAUAUUAAUGGUCAAUGGUAGAAAAUUUCAUAACAUCACAGCCUCAUGAAUUUUGGUAUACAAAUGCAACCAGGUCAUUUCUGUCUUUGACCCAUUUUUUUCUGCAUUCAAUUUUUUAUCAUUGCAAUAUGUUGAAGGCAAUUUUUUUUUCAUACCUUUAAAUUUACUUCUUGGUGUGUGUUGCCCCUCCUCAGUGAAGCUCCUUUUGCAUUUGAUAAUUAAAAAAAGUCAGGUUUGGCCCAUUUUUGUGGUGGCUUGUUCUAGAAAUAAAAGCUGUUUGUGAGUAAGUUGGGGGUAUUUAUCACAUUCAGUGAUAGUUAUAGUUUAGUGUUUGUUUUGUUAUAUUUAAAGAUCGGUCUACAAUGGGCAUAUUUUCUAAUUCUGAAAAAAAAAAAAAAACAAUAGAGAUAUCAUUUGGAUAUUCUUAUUUCAAUAUUUCUUGAAAAAAAAGUUUCUAAGUGAUUUAUAAUAUGAUUAAUAAUAUUUUGUUCUAGAACAAUUCAUUAGUUAUGUAAGAUCGAUCAUGUAUCUUACUCUUACCAAGAAUAUCCAUGUAUAAUUCUUGCAUGGUUUCUUGUCACAUAUGAUAUUAAAGACUAUCAAAAACUAUCAAUUAUUUAUAGUAGUACAGACCUUCCAUUAUGGACCACUUUAAUAUCAUAGUUUAUAAUUGCAUGUAAUAUCUGUGUAAUGUAUGUAUGUAUGUGUAUGCAUAUUGUGAUAACACAAACCAUGUUAUUGUCUAUAAAGUUAAAAGAAGUUUUUAUGUAAGAAUAUGUGCAAUACUGGAACACUGUUUUUAUUGCUGAUUUUUGUCUUUUCUAUAUAUUUUAAGAUGAUACAUAUUUUAUGUUAUUAAAACAUUUCCAGUGAGAAUAAUGUAAUGUUUUUCUUUAUCAUAUGAAGUUCAUUAGAAAUAGAAAUUGUACUUUGUAUGUAAAUAUUUUAUAAAAUGCUAUUGAUUAUUA